ACAUUUGUAGCAAUACAGAGUWGUUUAGUGGCGAACGGGUGCGUAACACGUGGGSAAUCUGCCGAGAAGUGGGGGAUAGCUCGCCGAAAGGCGAAUUAAUACCGCAUAUGAUCAGGGAAGACAUCUUYCCRACAUCAAAGCCGGGGUAACCUGGCGCUUCUUGAUGASCCCGCGGCCUAUCAGCUAGUUGGUGAGGUAACGGCYCACCAAGGCWAUGACGGGUAGCUGGUCUGAGAGGACGACCAGUCACACUGGAACUGAGACACGGUCCAGACACCUACGGGUGGCAGCAGUCGAGAAUUUUUCUCAAUGGGGGMAACCCUGAAGGAGCGACGCCGCGUGGAGGAUGAAGGCUUUCGGGUUGUAAACUCCUGUCAUUUGAGAACAAGGUGCACMGGUUAACUGCYGGURCAUUGAUAGUAUCAGAAGAGGAAGRGACGGCUAACUCUGUGCCAGCAGCCGCGGUAAUACAGAGGUCYCAAGCGUUGUUCGGAUUCAUUGGGCGUAAAGGGUGCGUAGGUGGCGYCGUAAGUCGGGUGUGAAAUCUCGGGGCUUAACUNCCGAAACUGCAUUCGAUACUGCGGUGCUUGAGGGC
RNAcentral lists this ribosomal RNA (595 nucleotides) under uncultured bacterium. RNAcentral's name for it is "partial 16S ribosomal RNA". It matches the Rfam family "Bacterial small subunit ribosomal RNA", at positions 70 to 649 of the family's 1533-position model. The record is from RNAcentral.